UGGGGAAUAUUGCACAAUGGGCGCAAGCCUGAUGCAGCGAUGCCGCGUGAGGGAAGAAGGUUUUCGGAUUGUAAACCUCUGUUGACAGGGACGAUAAUGACGGUACCUGUUCAGAAAGCUCCGGCUAACUACGUGCCAGCAGCCGCGGUAAUACGUAGGGAGCGAGCGUUGUCCGGAAUUACUGGGUGUAAAGGGAGUGCAGGCGGGACUGCAAGUCAGAUGUGAAAUUUAGGGGCUCAACCCCUCAAACUGCAUUUGAAACUGUGGUUCUUGAGUGAAGUAGAGGUAAGCGGAAUUCCAAGUGUAGCGGUGAAAUGCGUAGAUAUUUGGAGGAACAUCAGUGGCGAAGGCGGCUUACUGGGCUUUAACUGACGCUGAGGCUCGAAAGCGUGGGGAGCAAACAGG
Molecule: ribosomal RNA, 405 nt
Filed under: uncultured prokaryote
Also listed under: 1 other name
Description: bacterial SSU rRNA
Rfam family: Bacterial small subunit ribosomal RNA
Source: RNAcentral